GUGAACGCUGGCGGUAGGCCUAACACAUGCAAGUCGAACGGCAGCACAGUAAGAGCUUGCUCUUACGGGUGGCGAGUGGCGGACGGGUGAGGAAUACAUCGGAAUCUACUUUUUCGUGGGGGAUAACGUAGGGAAACUUACGCUAAUACCGCAUACGACCUACGGGUGAAAGCAGGGGAUCUUCGGACCUUGCGCGAUUGAAUGAGCCGAUGUCGGAUUAGCUAGUUGGCGGGGUAUAGGCCCACCAAGGCGACGAUCCGUAGCUGGUCUGAGAGGAUGAUCAGCCACACUGGAACUGAGACACGGUCCAGACUCCUACGGGAGGCAGCAGUGGGGAAUAUUGGACAAUGGGCGCAAGCCUGAUCCAGCCAUACCGCGUGGGUGAAGAAGGCCUUCGGGUUGUAAAGCCCUUUUGUUGGGAAAGAAAAGCAGCAGGUUAAUACCCCGCUGUUCUGACGGUACCCAAAGAAUAAGCACCGGCUAACUUCGUG
Molecule: ribosomal RNA, 491 nt
Filed under: uncultured bacterium
Lineage: Bacteria
Description: partial 16S ribosomal RNA
Rfam family: Bacterial small subunit ribosomal RNA
Source: RNAcentral